Molecule: long non-coding RNA, 197 nt
Organism: Apis dorsata (giant honeybee)
Lineage: Eukaryota; Metazoa; Arthropoda; Insecta; Hymenoptera; Apidae
Exons: 3
Source: RefSeq, a predicted model, not a curated record
AGAAGAAGAAGAAGAAGAAGAGGAAGAAGAAGUUGGUGGCACGUUCACGAAGUUCAAUCGUGGGAACGGAAAGCGACCCAGCUUGUUAAGCGGACCGGAGAAAACCGCGUUGGCCGAUGUGUGCCAACCAUAAAAGAGCAAUAAUCAGCGAGCCACGCCGGUUCAGGUCGAACUCGGCCAGUGGCCAUUGCUGGAAA